ACAAGGCCCCAGGCCCUACGGCGCGCAGCAGGCGCGAAAACUCCGCAAUGCGCGAAAGCGUGACGGGGGGACCCCAAGUGCCGCUGUACUUUGUACGGCGGCUUUUAGUGGAGCUUAAUGGAGCUCCCUGAAUAAGGGCUGGGUAAGUCUGGUGCCAGCCGCCGCGGUAACACCAGCAGCCCAAGUGGUGGUCGCGUUUAUUGGGCCUAAAGCGCUCGUAGCCGGGCCGGUAAGUCCCUUGUGUAAUCGUACGGCCUAACCGUUUGGCUUGCAAGGGAUACUGUUGGCCUUGGGGUCGGAAGAGGUUGGAGGUACUUCGGGGGUAGCGGUGAUAAUGCUGUAAUCCCCGGGGGACCACCAGUGGCGAAGGCGUCCGACCAGAACGAACCCGACGGUGAGGGGCGAAAGCUUGGGGAGCGAACGGGAUUAGAUACCCCGGUAGUCCAAGCCGUAAAGCAUGCGGGCCAGGUGUAGAGCGUCCCUAGAGGGCGUCUCGGUGCCGUAGGGAAGCCGUUAAGCCCGCCGCCUGGGAAGUACGUUCGCUAUGCUGAACUUAAAGAAAUUUGGCGGGGGAGCACCACAAGGGGUUGGACCUGCGGUUCAAUUGGAUUCUACGCCGGACAACUCACCAGGGGCGACAGUUGGUUGAAGGCCAGGUUGACGACCUUGCCGGACUAGCUGAGAGGUGGUGCAUGGCCGUCGUCAGCUCGUACCGUGAGGCGUCCUGUCAAGUCAGGCAACGAGCGAGACCCUCGCCCUUAGUUGCCAUCGGUUGAUAGCCGGGCACUCUAGGGGGACCGCUGGUGCUAAACCAGAGGAAGGAGAGGGCGACGGUAGGUCCGUAUGCCCCGAAUCCCCUGGGCUACACGCGGGUCACAAUGCGCAGGACAAUGGGAUGCGACCCCGUAAGGGGGAGCCAAACCCCUAAACCUGCGCUCGGUUCGGAUCGAGGGCUGUAACUCGCCCUCGUGAAGCUGGAAUCCCUAGUAAUCGCGCGCCACUACCGUCGCGGUGAAUACGUCCCUGCUCCUUGCACACACCGCCCGUCAAGCCACUCGAGUGGGGUCUGGAUGAGGUUAGUCCAUGUUGGGCUGGUCGAAUCCA
RNAcentral lists this ribosomal RNA (1104 nucleotides) under uncultured archaeon. RNAcentral describes it as "bacterial SSU rRNA". It matches the Rfam family "Archaeal small subunit ribosomal RNA", at positions 308 to 1411 of the family's 1478-position model. The record is from RNAcentral.